UUUUUUUUUUUUUGUUUGUUUUUGUUUUUUAUACAGUAGCCAUCCUAGUGGAUGUGAGGUUUAUCUCACUGUAGUUUUGUUUUGCACCCCUCUAAUGGUUAGUGAUGUUGAGCAUCUUUUCAUGUGCUUAUUGGCCAUUUGUAUCUUCUCUAGAGAAAUGUGUAUGCAAGUUCUUUGCACAUUUUUGAGUUUUCUUGGUUUGUUUUGUUUAUUUUGUUACUGAGUUUUCAGAGUUCUCUACAUAUACCUUAUCAGAUAUAUGGUUUGCAAAUAUUUUCUCCCAUUCUCUGGGUUCUCCUUUUACUCUCCUGACAGUAUCCUUUGAUUAACAAGUUUUAAAAAAUUUCAUGAAGUCCAGUGUAUUUAUUUUUUUCUCAUUAUCUGUGACUUUGAUAUCAUAUCCAAGAAAUCUUCAAAAAAAAAUAACUGAAUCACUUUAUUGUACACCUGAACCUAAAACAAUAUUGUACAUCAACUAUAUUUAAAAAAAACGAAAACAAAAAACAAAAAAACUCCCAACAAAGAAAAGCCCUGGACUUGAUGACUUCACUGGUGAAUUCUAUUAAACCUGUAAAGAACAAAUACCAUCUCAAAUUUUUCCAAAAAAAUACAGAGGGAAAAAGAAAAAGGAAUUCCCAUCAUGGCUCAGCAGAAACGAAGCUGACUGGCAUCCAUGAGGAUGCAGGUUCGAUCCCUGGCCUCGCCUGGUGGCUUAAGGAUCUGGUGUUGCCAUGAACUGUGGUGUAGGUUACAGACUUGGCUUGGAUCUGGUGCUGCUGUGGCUGUGGCUGUGGCACAGGCCAGCGGCUACAGCUCCGAGUGGACCCCUAGCCUGGGAACCUCCAUAUGCCACGGGUACAGGCCUAGAAAAAGACAAAACACACACACACACAAAGAAAGGAAAAGUAACUUACUCUGACACCAAAAUCAAAGACAUUACAAGACAAGAAAACCAUAGACCAAAAGCCCUUAAGAACAAUGAUGCAAAAAUCCUCAACAAAAUACCAGCAAACCGAAUUCAGCUGCAUAUUAAAUGGAAUACACACACACAUACAUAUAUAUACAUACAUACCACAUCUUCUUAAACCAAUUGUCUGUUGAUGGGUACUUGGGUUGUUUCCAUGUCUUGGUUAAAGUACAUAGUGCUGUUUGCUGAGAGAUUUUUGGCUAUUGAUUUAAUCUCCUAACUAGCUAUAGGUCUAUUCAAAUUUUCUAUUUCUUUGUGAUUUAGUUUUGGUAGUUUUUGUGUUUCUAGGAAUUUAUUCAUUUCAUCUAGGUUACAAUGUUCAUAUACUCUUAUAAUCCUUUUCAUUUCUGUAGAAUAGGUGGUAAUGUUCCCACUUUCCUUUCUUUGUGUGUGUGUGUGUUUUGUCUUUUUCUAGGCCUGUACCCGUGGCAUAUGGAGGUUCCCAGGCUAGGGGUCUAAUUGGAGCUGUAGCUGCCAGCCUACGAGACAGUCACAGCAGCACGUGAUCCAAACCACGUCUGUGACCUACACC
RNAcentral lists this long non-coding RNA (1499 nucleotides) under Sus scrofa (pig). RNAcentral describes it as "lncRNA (ENSSSCG00015074356.1)". The record is from RNAcentral. Lineage: Eukaryota; Metazoa; Chordata; Mammalia; Artiodactyla; Suidae.